This 776-nucleotide ribosomal RNA is filed under the name uncultured Neocallimastigales. Its description in RNAcentral is "partial large subunit ribosomal RNA". It matches the Rfam family "Eukaryotic large subunit ribosomal RNA", at positions 22 to 644 of the family's 3401-position model. The record is from RNAcentral. Lineage: Eukaryota; Fungi; Neocallimastigomycota; Neocallimastigomycetes; Neocallimastigales.
UAGAUGCGAGAGUAGAGCAUAUCAAUAAGCGGAGGAAAAGAAACUAACAAGGAUUCCCUUAGUAACGGCGAGUGAAGCGGGAAGAGCUCAAAUUUGAAAUCUUCAAGGUUUUACCUUGACGAAUUGUAGUUUAAAGAAGUGUUUUCUGUUGGAGUUUUGGUAAAAGUUCUUUGGAAGUAGGACAUCAUAGAGGGUGAGAAUCCCGUAUUUGACCAUUAUUUCCAGCUGUGUGAUACACUUUCAAAGAGUCGGAUUGUUUGGGAAUGCAGUCCAAAAUGGGUGGUAAAUUUCAUCUAAAGCUAAAUACUGGCGAGAGACCGAUAGCGAACAAGUACCGUGAGGGAAAGAUGAAAAGAACUUUGAAAAGAGAGUUAAACAGUACGUGAAAUUGUCAAAAGGGAAGCGUUUGACACCAGUGUUGUUUUCUCGGAAAAUCAAUUAAAAAUGAUGGGAUUUUGUGUUGUAUUGACUUUAUCAGCUUUCUGCACUUUUUUCUUAUCUUUUUUAAUGCACUUUUCGUUUAACAAGUCAACAUCAAUUUCUUUUGUUGUAAAAGAGUCAUUGGAAGGUGGCUUUUUCUUCGGAAAAAGUGUUUAUAGCCUUUGGCUUCUGCAAUCGGAGAGAUUGAGGUCUGCAGCGUAGAUCCUUCGGGGUUAGAUACAUUUGUGCUAAGCUAUAGUUCUUUAUAGACAACUUGUUGACUAUAAUCAAUCCUGUAACUUACUCGCUUAUGCUAUUUUACCUACGCUUAGGAUGUUGACACACGCGCGUGCUCG